This 253-nucleotide ribosomal RNA is filed under the name uncultured bacterium. RNAcentral describes it as "partial 16S ribosomal RNA". It matches the Rfam family "Bacterial small subunit ribosomal RNA", at positions 524 to 776 of the family's 1533-position model. The record is from RNAcentral.
UACGGAGGGUGCAAGCGUUAUCCGGAAUCAUUGGGCGUAAAGAGUCCGCAGGCGGCAUAGUAAGUUAGGUAUUAAAGACGGCAGCUCAACUGUCGCACUGUACCUGAUACUGCUAAGCUAGAGCCUUGGAGAGGUGCGUAGAAUUCUACAUGUAGGGGUAAAAUCCGUAGAUAUGUAGAGGAAUACCAAAAGCGAAGGCAGCGCACUGGCCAAGAGCCGACGCUCAUGGACGAAAGCGUGGGGAUCAAACAGG